Molecule: long non-coding RNA, 540 nt
Filed under: Homo sapiens (human)
Lineage: Eukaryota; Metazoa; Chordata; Mammalia; Primates; Hominidae
Description: non-protein coding lnc-GRPEL1-2:2
Source: RNAcentral
AACACACACCACACAACGCACCACAUUCACACCCACACUCACACCACACUCAACACACACAUUCACACAUACCACACACACCACACUCAACAUACAUACCACACACCUCACUGACACACAAAACACACCACACAACACACCACAUUCACACUCACACGCACAUCACACUCACCACACUCACACAUUCUCACACACCACAUUCCACACACCACAUUCAACACACACACCACACACACUACACACUCACACUAAACACACCACAUUCAAACACCACACUCACACUCGUACCACACUCAUCACAAUCACCACUCAACACACUUACACACCACAUGCCACACUCACACACACUGCACUCAGCACACUCACCACAUUCACACCUUCACACCACACACACCACUCAACAUCCUUACACACCACACACCACACUGACACACAAAACACACAACACACCACAUUCGCACCCACACACACACCACACUCACCACAUUCACACCCUCACACCACACACACCACACUCAACAUACACACCACACACCACAC